UGUACUAAAAGUGGAACAAAAUAAAAUAGGAACCAUACAGAGAUGAGCAUGGCCCCUGUGCAAGGAUGACAUGCAAAUUUGUGAAGAAUUCCAUAUGUUU
Chlorocebus sabaeus (green monkey) is the source of this 100-nucleotide small nuclear RNA. The record is from Rfam. Lineage: Eukaryota; Metazoa; Chordata; Mammalia; Primates; Cercopithecidae.